Molecule: ribosomal RNA, 450 nt
Filed under: uncultured bacterium
Lineage: Bacteria
Description: bacterial SSU rRNA
Rfam family: Bacterial small subunit ribosomal RNA
Source: RNAcentral
GUGGGGAAUAUUGGACAAUGGGCGAAAGCCUGAUCCAGCCAUGCCGCGUGUGUGAAGAAGGUCUUCGGAUUGUAAAGCACUUUAAGUUGGGAGGAAGGGCAGUAAGUUAAUACCUUGCUGUUUUGACGUUACCGACAGAAUAAGCACCGGCUAACUUCGUGCCAGCAGCCGCGGUAAUACGAAGGGUGCAAGCGUUAAUCGGAAUUACUGGGCGUAAAGCGCGCGUAGGUGGUUUUGUAAGUUGGAGGUGAAAUCCCCGGGCUCAACCUGGGAACUGCCUCCAAAACUGCAUGACUAGAGGACGGUAGAGGGUAGUGGAAUUUCCUGUGUAGCGGUGAAAUGCGUAGAUAUAGGAAGGAACACCAGUGGCGAAGGCGACUACCUGGACUGAUACUGACACUGAGGUGCGAAAGCGUGGGGAGCAAACAGGAUUAGAAACCCUUGUAGUCC